GACGAACGCUGGCGGCGUGCUUAACACAUGCAAGUCGAGCGGUAAGGCCCUUUCGGGGGUACACGAGCGGCGAACGGGUGAGUAACACGUGGGUGACCUGCCCUCAGCUCUGGGAUAAGCCUGGGAAACUGGGUCUAAUACCGGAUAUGACUCCAUGACGCAUGUUGUGGGGUGGAAAGCCUUGUGCGGCUGAGGAUGGGCCCGCGGCCUAUCAGCUUGUUGGUGGGGUGAUGGCCUACCAAGGCGACGACGGGUAGCCGGCCUGAGAGGGCGACCGGCCACACUGGGACUGAGACACGGCCCAGACUCCUACGGGAGGCAGCAGUGGGGAAUCUUGCGCAAUGGGCGAAAGCCUGACGCAGCGACG
Molecule: ribosomal RNA, 367 nt
Filed under: uncultured bacterium
Lineage: Bacteria
Description: bacterial SSU rRNA
Rfam family: Bacterial small subunit ribosomal RNA
Source: RNAcentral